AACCAAUAACUUUAUACAUGCCUAAUGCCAAGGUGCUUCCAUUAACCCCUCCAAACCAAUAACUUUAUACAUGCCUAAUGCCAAGGUGUUUCCAUUAACCCCUUCAAACCAAUAACUUUAUACAUGCCUAAUUACGUACGUUAUUUUAAGGAGGUUUUUCUUAUUAGAUUACUCGAUGAAUCAAGAAAUGUAAUCGAUAGAAUACUCGAUUAC
This is a long non-coding RNA of Bufo bufo (common toad), 213 nucleotides long. RefSeq lists it as uncharacterized. Lineage: Eukaryota; Metazoa; Chordata; Amphibia; Anura; Bufonidae. The record is from RefSeq and is a predicted model, not a curated record. The transcript has 2 exons.